This 497-nucleotide ribosomal RNA is filed under the name uncultured bacterium. Its description in RNAcentral is "partial 16S ribosomal RNA". It matches the Rfam family "Bacterial small subunit ribosomal RNA", at positions 28 to 507 of the family's 1533-position model. The record is from RNAcentral.
GAUGAACGCUGGCGGCGUGCCUAAUACAUGCAAGUCGAGCGAACAGACGAGGAGCUUGCUCCUCUGACGUUAGCGGCGGACGGGUGAGUCACACGUGGAUAACCUACCUAUAAGACUGGGAUAACUUCGGGAAACCGGAGCUAAUACCGGAUAAUAUAUUGAACCGCAUGGUUCAAUAGUGAAAGACGGUUUUGCUGUCACUUAUAGAUGGAUCCGCGCCGCAUUAGCUAGUUGGUAAGGUAACGGCUUACCAAGGCGACGAUGCGUAGCCGACCUGAGAGGGUGAUCGGCCACACUGGAACUGAGACACGGUCCAGACUCCUACGGGAGGCAGCAGUAGGGAAUCUUCCGCAAUGGGCGAAAGCCUGACGGAGCAACGCCGCGUGAGUGAUGAAGGUCUUCGGAUCGUAAAACUCUGUUAGUAGGGAAGAACAAAUGUGUAAGUAACUAUGCACGUCUUGACGGUACCUAAUCAGAAAGCCACGGCUAACUACGUG